This 428-nucleotide ribosomal RNA is filed under the name uncultured bacterium. RNAcentral describes it as "bacterial SSU rRNA". It matches the Rfam family "Bacterial small subunit ribosomal RNA", at positions 355 to 776 of the family's 1533-position model. The record is from RNAcentral.
UCGAGAAUUUUUCACAAUGGGCGAAAGCCUGAUGGAGCGACGCCGCGUGGGGGAUGAAGGGCUUCGGCUCGUAAACCCCUGUCAUUUGCGAACAAAGGCUGCAACCUAACACGUUGCAUUCUGAUAGUAGCAGAAGAGGAAGGGACGGCUAACUCUGUGCCAGCAGCCGCGGUAAUACAGAGGUCCCAAGCGUUGUUCGGAUUCACUGGGCGUAAAGGGUGCGUAGGUGGUAAACUAAGUCGGGUGUGAAAUCUCCGGGCUCAACCCGGAUGGUGCGCCCGAAACUGGUUUGCUAGAGGGUGGGAGGGGAGACUGGAAUUCUCGGUGUAGCAGUGAAAUGCGUAGAUAUCGAGAGGAACACCGGUGGCGAAGGCGAGUCUCUGGACCAUACCUGACACUGAAUCACGAAAGCCGGGGGAGCAAACAGG